CCUACGGGAGGCAGCAGUGGGGAAUUUUGGACAAUGGGCGCAAGCCUGAUCCAGCAAUGCCGCGUGCAGGAUGAAGGCCUUCGGGUUGUAAACUGCUUUUGUACGGAACGAAAAAGUCUGCCCUAAUACGGUGGGCCCAUGACGGUACCGUAAGAAUAAGCACCGGCUAACUACGUGCCAGCAGCCGCGGUAAUACGUAGGGUGCGAGCGUUAAUCGGAAUUACUGGGCGUAAAGCGUGCGCAGGCGGUUAUAUAAGACAGAUGUGAAAUCCCCGGGCUCAACCUGGGACCUGCAUUUGUGACUGUAUAGCUAGAGUACGGUAGAGGGGGAUGGAAUUCCGCGUGUAGCAGUGAAAUGCGUAGAUAUGCGGAGGAACACCGAUGGCGAAGGCAAUCCCCUGGACCUGUACUGACGCUCAUGCACGAAAGCGUGGGGAGCAAACAGGAUUAGAUACCCUGGUAGUCCACGCCCUAAACGAUGUCAACUGGUUGUUGGGUCUUCACUGACUCAGUAACGAAGCUAACGCGUGAAGUUGACCGCCUGGGGAGUACGGCCGCAAGGUUGAAACUCAAAANAGAGUAGACGCGUGAGACGUAGACCGACGGACGACGACGAGGGGAGGAGG
This 626-nucleotide ribosomal RNA is filed under the name uncultured bacterium. Its description in RNAcentral is "bacterial SSU rRNA". It matches the Rfam family "Bacterial small subunit ribosomal RNA", at positions 338 to 1414 of the family's 1533-position model. The record is from RNAcentral.